Molecule: long non-coding RNA, 296 nt
Organism: Mercurialis annua (annual mercury)
Lineage: Eukaryota; Viridiplantae; Streptophyta; Magnoliopsida; Malpighiales; Euphorbiaceae
Exons: 3
Source: RefSeq, a predicted model, not a curated record
CGUUUUUACUGAUUCUGAAUUGGCUAGACUUGACGAGCAACUUGUUUCUAUAUAUAGUACUCGUGAGGCUGAUUUGUGAAUGUAGCUUCAUUUGAAGAUUAUCCGUGCCCUUUUAUGGAUAAUGAGUAUAGCUUGCUAGAUGCUUAUAAAGAUUGUGAAAUCUUCAAUUGGGUUGAACAAGGAUUUAAUAAGAAGCUUCGAAUUUUUACCGGUAGAUAUGGUGUAAUUGAUCCUCCUUUUAAGUUUGCUGGCGAACUUCAAGCGAAGAAGAAAUGGCUGCAUACAUUAAAUUUCGU